Molecule: ribosomal RNA, 108 nt
Filed under: Oryctolagus cuniculus (rabbit)
Lineage: Eukaryota; Metazoa; Chordata; Mammalia; Lagomorpha; Leporidae
Source: RNAcentral
AUCUACGGCCAUACAUCCUGAACGUGCCCGAUCUCGUCUGAUCUCAGAAGCUAAGCAGGGUUGGGCCUGAUUAGUACUUGGAUGGGAGAAAAUAGAUUUUCUUAUUUU